This 442-nucleotide ribosomal RNA is filed under the name uncultured bacterium. Its description in RNAcentral is "partial 16S ribosomal RNA". It matches the Rfam family "Bacterial small subunit ribosomal RNA", at positions 338 to 795 of the family's 1533-position model. The record is from RNAcentral.
CCUACGGGAGGCAGCAGUGGGGAAUAUUGGGCAAUGGGCGCAAGCCUGACCCAGCAACGCCGCGUGAAGGAAGAAGGCUUUCGGGUUGUAAAAUUCUUUUAAGAGGGAAGAGCAGAAGACGGUACCUCUUGAAUAAGCCACAGCUAACUAAGUGACAGCAGCCGCGGGAAUACGUAGGUGGCAAGCGUUGUCCGGAUUUACUGGGUGGAAAGGGCGUGCAGGCGGGAAGACAAGUCAGAUGUGAAAUCCCGCGGCCUAACCGCGGAACUGCAUUUGAAACUGUUUGUCUUGAGUACCGGAGAGGUCAUCGGAAUUCCUUGUGUAGCGGUGAAAUGCGUAGAUAUAAGGAAGAACACCAGUGGCGAAGGCGGAUGACUGGACGGCAACUGACGGUGAGGCGCGAAAGCGUGGGGAGCAAACAGGAUUAGAUACCCCGGUAGUC